GGACCCGUAGUGUAGCCUGGUUAACACGCCUCCUUGUCACGGAGGAAAUCACCGGUUCGAAUCCGGCCGGGUCCGCCA
Molecule: transfer RNA, 78 nt
Filed under: bacterium
Lineage: Bacteria
Description: tRNA-Asp
Rfam family: tRNA
About the family: Transfer RNA (tRNA) molecules are approximately 80 nucleotides in length. Their secondary structure includes four short double-helical elements and three loops (D, anti-codon, and T loops). Further hydrogen bonds mediate the characteristic L-shaped molecular structure. tRNAs have two regions of fundamental functional importance: the anti-codon, which is responsible for specific mRNA codon recognition, and the 3' end, to which the tRNAs corresponding amino acid is attached (by aminoacyl-tRNA synthetases). tRNAs cope with the degeneracy of the genetic code in two manners: having more than one tRNA (with a specific anti-codon) for a particular amino acid; and 'wobble' base-pairing, i.e. permitting non-standard base-pairing at the 3rd anti-codon position.
Source: RNAcentral